This is a microRNA precursor of Fukomys damarensis (Damara mole-rat), 108 nucleotides long. NCBI's taxonomy places the organism in Eukaryota, Metazoa, Chordata, Mammalia, Rodentia, Bathyergidae. The record is from Ensembl.
CUGCUUGUGCUGGGGUGAGGUAGUAAGUUGUAUUGUUGUGGGGUAGGGAUCUGAGGCCCCAGUAAGAAGGUAACUAUACAACUUACUACUUUCCCUGGUGUGUAGCAU